This 606-nucleotide ribosomal RNA is filed under the name Cyclocodon lancifolius. Its description in RNAcentral is "eukaryotic LSU rRNA". The stretch from base 179 to 315 matches the Rfam family "5.8S ribosomal RNA". The record is from RNAcentral. Lineage: Eukaryota; Viridiplantae; Streptophyta; Magnoliopsida; Asterales; Campanulaceae.
CCCGCGGCCCCUUGUCGGCGUGCGCCCCCGGACUCGUCUGGGCGUGAGCGCCGGUGCCAAACGAACCCCGGCGCGAUCCGCGCCAAGGAAAACAUAACUCGAGGGCGCCUCGUCCUCCCGCAGCCCCGUUCGCGGUGCGCGAGCGGUUGGGCGGUCGCUUCUUAGUGAAAACAAAAACGACUCUCGGCAACGGAUAUCUCGGCUCUCGCAUCGAUGAAGAACGCAGGGUGUGAUUGCAGAUCCGUGACCAUCGAGUCUUUGAACGCAAGUUGCGCCCGAAGCCAUUAGGCCGAGGGCACGUCUGCAUGGGCGUCACGCAUCGCGUCGCCCCCCCAAACAAAACAAAAGCAAACGAGCUAGUUUGAUUGAUUGGGGGAGCGGAUACUGGCCUCCCGUGCCUCGCAGCGCGGCUGGCUCAAAACGGAGUCCCCCGCGGAGGACGCACGACAAGUGGUGGUUGAUAACAAGGCCCUCGCGUCCCGUCGUGCGCAAGUCCUGCGCUGGAGUUGGCUCUCGUGACCCCUAAAAGCGCCUUCGUUUCGCGAUGGCGCUCCGACCGCGACCCCAUGUCAGGCGGGACUACCCGCUGAGUUUAAGCAUAUCAAA